AUAUAUAUAUAUAUAUGGAACCCCCCUUUUUUUGGACAAUCAAUGCAUUUGAAUGGGGACAUAUAGUUGGUACCCCCCCCCCCUCUUUGUCCUGGGUUGGGAACCCCGUCCCCUCCCCCUUUGAAAAUGGCUGGAUCCGCCCCUGAACAGAUUGUAGUUAAGUGAAAGAACAUAUUAUGUGUAAUAUUUAGUAUUGUUUUAAUUUAUUGAUAACAAAAUCAAUAUUUACACCAAUAAAAACAAUAUCAAAG
Molecule: long non-coding RNA, 251 nt
Filed under: Mytilus galloprovincialis (Mediterranean mussel)
Lineage: Eukaryota; Metazoa; Mollusca; Bivalvia; Mytilida; Mytilidae
Source: RNAcentral